ACCAACGAGCCACUCUCGGCAGAGCGGCUCCCGGCGCCUCCCUUCAGCCUCGCCCCGCCUCUCGUCGCCUUUCCCGCCGACCCGACCUGCGACCUUUCUCCCACCGCCUGGACCGUGCACCCGCAGCGGUGGGCCUCGGAACCCCUCUCGCCUCAGCCAGACCACCCAGCGCCCGGGUCUACGCUGCACACGGCGUGGCGGCGGGCGCGGAGGCCGCGGCUGGGAGGGUGCGGGGCCCCGCGGGUGCCGGCCGCGCAGCGUCUCGCCGCCGUCAGUGCUCGCUGGGCGCGAGGGGACCGUCGCGCCUGGCUCAGCCUCCCGUUCGUGCCCUCGGACGGCAGCCCGCUGCUGAAAGCAGGCGGGCGGAGCGGGCGCGGAAGAAACCCCGGAGGAGGGUUAAGAGCUAACUUUCCCAGUGCUGCUUAUGGGAUCUUGCAGGUACGGAGCUCGCAGGAUGUUCGCCACGUCCCGCCCGUAGGCACUACGGGUCGCCCUUUGCAAAGGAAAAGCAGGCCCCCCACACGCCAGGUAGCUCGCUCGGGGCGGUGGGCUAGAAGGGCUUCGGAAGGGGCGGCAGGUGGGGCGGAAGCGAGAGGCGCCCAGGCGGCUGCAGGGGCCUGGAGGACUUCCGGCCCGGGCGCCCCCUGCGGCGGGAGGGCGGGGCCUCGGCUCGCCCCGCCCCCGGCGCCCCGCCCCCGGCGCCCCCCCCCGGCGCCCCGCCCCCGGCGCCCCGCCCCCGGCGCCCCGCCCCCGGCGCCCCGCCCCCGGCGCCCCGCCCCCGGCGCCCCGCCCCCGGCGCCCCGCCCCCGGCGCCCCGCCCCCGGCGCCCCGCCCCCGGCGCCCCGCCCCCGGCGCCCGCCUCUUCCCAGGGCUGCGGAGGGCCAGGUUCAGGACCCCAAGCUUCCUUUGAGUCGGGGUCCGUGGCAGCCGUUGCUCCGUAGCUGUCAGCUCUCCCGAGGGGUCAGUGUUCUUGCCCCUUCACCUUUUGGAAGCUCCCCGCUUCCCCCAGCUUCUCUGCUCUUCCCCUCUCCCUUCCUCCUGAGGCCAGCGGGCUCUUGGGGUGUCUCUCAGUGA
RNAcentral lists this long non-coding RNA (1074 nucleotides) under Felis catus (domestic cat). Its description in RNAcentral is "lncRNA (ENSFCAG00000047253.1)". The record is from RNAcentral. Lineage: Eukaryota; Metazoa; Chordata; Mammalia; Carnivora; Felidae.